RNAcentral lists this ribosomal RNA (484 nucleotides) under uncultured bacterium. RNAcentral's name for it is "partial 16S ribosomal RNA". It matches the Rfam family "Bacterial small subunit ribosomal RNA", at positions 30 to 507 of the family's 1533-position model. The record is from RNAcentral.
UUGAACGCUGGCGACAUGCCUUACACAUGCAAGUCGAACGGCAGCACGGGUGCUUGCACCUGGUGGCGAGUGGCGAACGGGUGAGUAAUACAUCGGAACAUGUCCUGUAGUGGGGGAUAGCCCGGCGAAAGCCGGAUUAAUACCGCAUACGAUCUACGGAUGAAAGCGGGGGACCUCGGGCCUCGCGCUAUAGGGUUGGCCGAUGGCUGAUUAGCUAGUUGGUGGGGUAAAGGCCUACCAAGGCGACGAUCAGUAGCUGGUCUGAGAGGACGACCAGUCACACUGGGACUGAGACACGGCCCAGACUCCUACGGGAGGCAGCAGUGGGGAAUUUUGGACAAUGGGCGAAAGCCUGAUCCAGCAAUGCCGCGUGUGUGAAGAAGGCCUUCGGGUUGUAAAGCACUUUUGUCCGGAAAGAAAUCCUUGGCCCUAAUACGGUCGGGGGAUGACGGUACCGGAAGAAUAAGCACCGGCUAACUACGUG